Molecule: long non-coding RNA, 438 nt
Organism: Saimiri boliviensis boliviensis (Bolivian squirrel monkey)
Lineage: Eukaryota; Metazoa; Chordata; Mammalia; Primates; Cebidae
Source: RefSeq, a predicted model, not a curated record
ACUUCCGGUUUCGUUUCCUCCAGGUUUUUCUCAUCUUUUAGUCCGGACUAAUGGGGUCCUGGUGUGAACUCGUUUUUGGUGAAAUUCGGCUGGGUCUCACCCGAGCCUAUCUAGGUCCGUCUCUGGAGUGGCCUGUCAUCGAUCUCGCCCUCCAUCGCUCAGCGACACAAGUGGAGGCCCCAGGACUGCAGUCUGCAUGAAGAAACAGCUCAGAUUUGACCAAGAUCACAUAAGUAGGAGUUGAGGAAUUGGAACCCACUAUGACUGACUCCAAAUUAAUAUAGUGUUUAUAGCCACUUACAUAAUAAUGGUAAAGGUUUUAUUUUUUUCACUAUACAAUAUGUAGUAGAUAAAUUUACUGAGGAAACGAGACAGCACAUGACAUAUCUUAAAGGAUACACACAUGACAGGAAGGAUUAGAAGACGAAACAGAAACAG